This 67-nucleotide transfer RNA is filed under the name Marmota monax (woodchuck). RNAcentral describes it as "tRNA.Ala". It matches the Rfam family "tRNA". From Rfam's summary of the family: Transfer RNA (tRNA) molecules are approximately 80 nucleotides in length. Lineage: Eukaryota; Metazoa; Chordata; Mammalia; Rodentia; Sciuridae. The record is from RNAcentral.
GGUUGUAGCUCAGUGGCAGAGCACUCACCUAGCAUGUGCGAGGCCCUGGGUUUGAUCCUCAGCACCA